Molecule: small nucleolar RNA, 96 nt
Organism: Quercus robur (English oak)
Lineage: Eukaryota; Viridiplantae; Streptophyta; Magnoliopsida; Fagales; Fagaceae
Source: RefSeq, a predicted model, not a curated record
GGUUGUUGGGAUGAUGAUAAAUGUUUAAUCCCAGCUCAUUAUGAGACCUUUCGAGGUCUGGGAAUGUAACUAUCCACAUGUAUCUGAUCCUCUAUU